RNAcentral lists this ribosomal RNA (496 nucleotides) under uncultured bacterium. RNAcentral describes it as "partial 16S ribosomal RNA". It matches the Rfam family "Bacterial small subunit ribosomal RNA", at positions 29 to 507 of the family's 1533-position model. The record is from RNAcentral.
AUGAACGCUGGCGGCGUGCCUAAUACAUGCAAGUCGAGCGAACGGACGAGAGGCUUGCUUCUCUGAUGUUAGCGGCGGACGGGUGAGUAACACGUGGAUAACCUACCUAUAAGACUGGGAUAACUUCGGGAAACCGGAGCUAAUACCGGAUGAUAUUUUGAACCGCAUGGUUCAAAAGUGAAAGACGGUCUUGCUGUCACUUAUAGAUGGAUCCGCGCUGCAUUAGCUAGUUGGUAAGGUAACGGCUUACCAAGGCAACGAUGCAUAGCCGACCUGAGAGGGUGAUCGGCCACACUGGAACUGAGACACGGUCCAGACUCCUACGGGAGGCAGCAGUAGGGAAUCUUCCGCAAAGGGCGAAAGCCUGACGGAGCAACGCCGCGUGAGUGAUGAAGGUCUUCGGAUCGUAAAACUCUGUUAUUAGGGAAGAACAUAUGUGUAAGUAACUGUGCACAUCUUGACGGUACCUAAUCAGAAAGCCACGGCUAACUACGUG